This 517-nucleotide ribosomal RNA is filed under the name uncultured bacterium. Its description in RNAcentral is "bacterial SSU rRNA". It matches the Rfam family "Bacterial small subunit ribosomal RNA", at positions 501 to 1016 of the family's 1533-position model. The record is from RNAcentral.
CUACGUGCCAGCAGCCGCGGUAAUACGUAGGUCCCGAGCGUUAUCCGGAUUUAUUGGGCGUAAAGCGAGCGCAGGCGGUUAGAUAAGUCUGAAGUUAAAGGCUGUGGCUUAACCAUAGUACGCUUUGGAAACUGUUUAACUUGAGUGCAGAAGGGGAGAGUGGAAUUCCAUGUGUAGCGGUGAAAUGCGUAGAUAUAUGGAGGAACACCGGUGGCGAAAGCGGCUCUCUGGUCUGUAACUGACGCUGAGGCUCGAAAGCGUGGGGAGCGAACAGGAUUAGAUACCCUGGUAGUCCACGCCGUAAACGAUGAGUGCUAGGUGUUAGGUCCUUUCCGGGACUUAGUGCCGCAGCUAACGCAUUAAGCACUCCGCCUGGGGAGUACGACCGCAAGGUUGAAACUCAAAGGAAUUGACGGGGGCCCGCACAAGCGGUGGAGCAUGUGGUUUAAUUCGAAGCAACGCGAAGAACCUUACCAGGUCUUGACAUCCCUCUGACCACUCUAGAGAUAGAGUUUCC